ACUUGAUACAUACGUUGGGUGUGAAGUAGUUAUGGUCGCUGGUUGCAAAUUUACGUUCGAUCACAAUGCCACGGCAGGAGGACAAUGUCGAUUAUUCCUUGCAGCUCGCAGCAUUACUGUUUCUAACAGCGCAUUCAUAGCCCGGCCGGCCAUAUAGAGAGAGAGCAGUAUGUUUCAAAGACGCCAACAAGAAAAAACAAAAGAUAAUAUAAAUACGUCGCCAAGAUACUAGACAUGCAUGAAUCUAACAUAUGAGUUAGGAACUACUCCCUCCAUUCCCAUUUAUCAGGCGUACACGCAUAUCAAGAUUCAAAAUUUACAAGAUCAAUGAUUUAGCUAAUAUUUUUUUACUUUUGUAAUGUAAAUUUGAUAUGGUUGGGUUUGUAAUAAAAUGUAUCCUCCAAUGAUUAUAAAUUUAUAACAAUAAACAAUAUAAUACAAGAUAAAUGAAUGGCUAAAGUCCAAUUUAGGAGACCGUGUCAUGUUAUACCAUGCCUUAUAAAUAGGAAUCUUUCCUGAAAAAAUAAACAAGAAUCUUACUACUACUAACUGGAGGCUCCUUUUGAAGUCUCUACACGAAGCCACCUAGGAAUCCUAAGUGGACAUUCUAGAAAAAAAGAGAAAUCCUAGAAAUUCUCCCAAAAAAGCAAAACAUCUAGCCAUUAAUUCAGUAGGCUCAAUCAUCAUAGUCAUUGGAUCUAUUAUAUUUUCUAAAAAAUUAUAUACCUAUACCAUUAUGAAAAUAGUCUAAAAGUAACCCCUAAAUCUAUAUCUAAAUUACCCACCUCUGCUAUUAUAUGAAAUAAAUUAAAGUAACAUCCUAAUAUUUAUCUAAAUUACCCACCUAUACUAUUAUAAAAGUAAUUUAAAAUAACUCCUCAAAUUUACAUCUAAAUUACCCACCACUAACAAUAUAAAAAAUAAUUAUAUCCAAAUCACCCACAUAUGCCAUUAUUAAAAGUUUGAAUCCAAAUCAUUUUCAUUAAAAGUAUACUAGAGGUACAUCAAUAUAUGAUUUUAAAUUACCUAUUCUUACACUACUGGUAUAGAAAAUAAUAAUU
Molecule: long non-coding RNA, 1061 nt
Filed under: Setaria viridis
Lineage: Eukaryota; Viridiplantae; Streptophyta; Magnoliopsida; Poales; Poaceae
Description: long non-coding RNA (SVIR_LNC002338)
Source: RNAcentral